This 399-nucleotide ribosomal RNA is filed under the name Boophis marojezensis. RNAcentral's name for it is "partial 16S ribosomal RNA". It matches the Rfam family "Bacterial large subunit ribosomal RNA", at positions 1950 to 2512 of the family's 2925-position model. Lineage: Eukaryota; Metazoa; Chordata; Amphibia; Anura; Mantellidae. The record is from RNAcentral.
GCGAAGGUAGCACAAUCACUUGUUCUUUAAAUAAGGACUAGGUAUCAAUGGCAUCACGAGGAUCCCACUGUCUCCCCCCUCCAAUCAGUGAAACUGAUCUCUCCGUGAAGAAGCGGGGAUAUUUACAUAAGACGAGAAGACCCCAUGGAGCUUUAAACCCGAUGUCACCCAUUUUCCUCUACACCCUAAUAUUCAAUUUGGCCCUGCCCUGUCGGUUUUAGGUUGGGGUGACCACGGAGUAUAAUAUACCCUCCAUGAAAAAGGGAGUAAUAAUCCUUAUUAGAGAACAACACUUCUAAAAAUUAAAACAUUAAUUUAUAAUGAUCCGAUAUUCGAUCAACGAACCAAGUUACCCUGGGGAUAACAGCGCAAUCUGCCUCAAGAGCCCCUAUCGACAGG